CCUACGUGAGGCAGCAGUAGGGAAUCUUCCGCAAUGGGCGAAAGCCUGACGGAGCAACGCCGCGUGAGUGAAGAAGGAUUUCGGUUCGUAAAGCUCUGUUGUUAGGGAAGAAUGAUUGUGUAGUAACUAUACACAGUAGAGACGGUACCUAACCAGAAAGCCACGGCUAACUACGUGCCAGCAGCCGCGGUAAUACGUAGGUGGCAAGCGUUGUCCGGAAUUAUUGGGCGUAAAGCGCGCGCAGGUGGUUUAAUAAGUCUGAUGUGAAAGCCCACGGCUCAACCGUGGAGGGUCAUUGGAAACUGUUAAACUUGAGUGCAGGAGAGAAAAGUGGAAUUCCUAGUGUAGCGGUGAAAUGCGUAGAGAUUAGGAGGAACACCAGUGGCGAAGGCGGCUUUUUGGCCUGUAACUGACACUGAGGCGCGAAAGCGUGGGGAGCAAACAGGAUUAGAUACCCUAGUAGUC
RNAcentral lists this ribosomal RNA (465 nucleotides) under uncultured Caryophanales bacterium. RNAcentral's name for it is "bacterial SSU rRNA". It matches the Rfam family "Bacterial small subunit ribosomal RNA", at positions 338 to 795 of the family's 1533-position model. The record is from RNAcentral. Lineage: Bacteria; Bacillati; Bacillota; Bacilli; Caryophanales.